This is a long non-coding RNA of Lontra canadensis (Northern American river otter), 491 nucleotides long. RefSeq lists it as uncharacterized. The record is from RefSeq and is a predicted model, not a curated record. Lineage: Eukaryota; Metazoa; Chordata; Mammalia; Carnivora; Mustelidae. The transcript is spliced from 3 exons.
UUAGAACAUCUCAGCUGAGAAGGGCUUUCCAGACACGUGCUCCCUCCUUCCCUUAAUACCCCUUUGCUGCUGGUAGGAAAACUGGAGAAAGAAGCCCCUUCCUCAAGAGUCAGGGGCAGGAUGCGAGAGGAACCCAGGCCUCCUGCCCCUCCUCUCCUCUCUGCUCCCAUAAUGGGGUAGAGCUCACCCAAUCCAGCUGGAGGAAAUCUCCAGACAAAUUCAAGAGGCCCCCACAGCUACACGGUCCUGGUCCCUCCAGUAAUGGAUGGAAAAUCAGCGAUUUCCUGACAGUUAGCAACCAAUUUUCCACCAAUUAGAAGAGAGAUGGUGGUCUCUGGAGGCAGCUGGAUGGCGGCGUUGCACGGAACUGGAAGGAAGAGAGAUGAUCCUCGACGCACCAGGGUCCUGAAACAGAACGGCUCCAUAAGGGCCACAGGCCUUCAGCAUCCACCACCGCCCGAGUGCGGGGGAGGACUCCGUGGCAGGAACAG